AAUAAAUAAACAUGAAAAAAAUUAAAACAAACAAAAAACCCCACAAAAAAAACCCAAAAUGUGGUGUCUGUAUACAAUGGAAUAUUAUUCAGUCUUCAAGAAGAAGGAGAUUUCUGACCCAUGCUAAAAGAUGGGUGAAACUUAAGGACAUUAUGCUAAGUGAAAUAAACCAGUUUCAUAAAAAGAUAAAUACUGUAUAAUUCCACUUAUAGAAGGUAUUUACAGCUGUCAAAUUCAUAGACACAGAAAGUAGAAAGGUGGUUGCCAGGGGCUGGGAGUGGAUGUAGAAUGAGGAGCUGCCAUUUAAUGGGUACAGAGUUGUAGUUUUGCAAGAUGAAAAAGUGUCGGAGAUCGGUUGCACAGCAACAUGAUAUACUUAACGCUACUGAACUGUACAGUUAAAGGUGGGUAAGAUUAUAAAUUUUAUGUUGCAAGUAUUUUAUCACAAUUUAAAAAAAUGAGUACACAAAAGAUUGAAUUUCAGGUAAACAAAGAAUAAUUUUUGGCAUAAGUGUGUCCUGUGCAAUGUUUGGAACAUGUUUACACUUAAAAAGUUGUUUGUUAUGCAUCUGAAGUUCAAAUUUAACUGGGUGUCCUGUAUUUUACCAGGGAAUCUCAGUUUGGAUACACACUCUGAAAUCCAAUGCUUCCUUUUUGCCCUGGCUGACAGGAAGCCUCAAUGCCUGGCUGCAGGAAGCAGUUUAUCUCAGGAGCAGAAACAGGCGAUGGAAAAGAGGCUCCUGAUGAAUCUUGAAGCACCAUGCAGUUCCAGUGACUGGCACUUUGUCACCCCUUAGCAGGAGGCACCCGCCACUUUCUGCUCAAAACUCCACCAUUAUUGAGGGAGGUGAACAAAGCAGGAGCAGCCACCAUGAACCCAGAGGUGGAAGCUGCAUGUUGAGGAUGGCCGAACUAUCCUGCCAGCCCUGGACUGCUUCCCUCUGGAUUAUUAUAUGAAAGGAGACCACAUUUUCAUCUUAAGUCACUUAAUUUGGUGAUUCUUUGUUACAGCAGCUGAACCUAUACCCUGCUUGAUUAAUUACUAGUCUUUUAAGAAGGGCUGACCCACCUGCUAUUCUUUCUGGCUCUCAAAUAUGUUGCCAACAUGCAAACAUGAACUUUUUGCUCCUUAUUGAUCUAUUUUUGCUCGGGGUCUUUAUCAAUCAGUCUUUAAAUUAUUGGCUCAGUGUUGCUGUCCUCAAUUUCUCUCCCUGGAAUCUUUGGACCUUCUCUUUCAGAAUGCUCCCCUUGGUUUUCUUCUAGGAAUUAUGGCUUAGCCAAUCUGACCAAUCUGUGAGCCAUUGCCUUGAAUAGAAAAUCCCUAGGAAAUCACUCAGAAGCCAGGCAUUUGGCAAGGGCUAGGCUGGGUGAUCUCCAUUCUUUUUACCUCAAGGAAUGGCAUGGAGGGAAUUAGCUGAAUGAACUAAUGAAUGACUGGAGUGUAGCAAUCAAUUCCAGUCAUCCAAAAUUAUUUCUAAAUGCCAGGGUUUUCCUCUUUCCACAUCCCAACUGAUUCAAGACUAAAUGUUUUUCCUAUGAUGAGUCAGUUUCAUGAGACCCAGUUUAUGGUUGAGGAACUUGAGGGAGAGCAAAGCAAAGUGGUAAAUAUAAUUAACUAGGGGGCAAGAAAUUACAUCUAGUCUUCAUAGCGCGCUGGAUCACACAGGUGUUUACCGACUCAUGCUGCCUCUCUCUGAGCAAAUCUCCAUCUAAUGUGCUGGGAGAGCAGGCAUAUGGGCUGAGUAAUUAUAAAUGCCUUUCAGAAGUACGGUGCUUAAAAUAAUUUCCUCUUAUAGUUUUUCAUAACACCGGGUGUUUGUCUUUUUAAUUCUUGCAGAAGGCAGUGAGGGCUAAGAUCACACAUGUUUUCAGAAGAAUGAGCCUGCAACAGCAUCCUACUUUGCUGGCAGGUAAGAGCCCCAAACGCUCACCUUGAGUGGGAAGAAAAGGGCAUUACAUUGAUCCGGCCUCAAGGCAAGAGCCCGUCUGGCCUGUGCCCGUGAACAGAGAAUGGGAAUAGAACAUUCUGUCUCUUGUGGCCUGAUAGCUGCUGGAGAAAAGGAUUCACCAUGGUGAAUACAACUCUCUUUUUCAGGCAGAAUAAAUGAAGUGUAACUAGAAUUGAGGCUUCUCUUCUCACUGCUUAGCAUCUUUAAUCUACUAGCCGGCAAGAUGUCUGAGGAGCAGAAAAUAUAAUUUUGUCCAAUUUUACUGAACUACAGUCUUUCCUCAUCUUGAAAAAAAAAUAAUAAUAAAGUACUCUAAUUCUUAAGUAUUUCUGGAGUCGACAUGAAUCUAGCCGAGGUAGAAUUUCCAUAUUUUAUGUGCACCAUGAAAAUCAGCCUUUAAGCUUAAUGGAAGCUUUGGGCUCACUGUAAAAUCCAGAGAGCAGGAAGCAGGGCAGGUUAGGGAGAGUCAGGGUGAGAGCUUUGAUACUUGCCUGUGCGGUCUGUGGGCUAAUAAAGGUCAACCAAACUUGAUCUACACACUCAUCUCAAAGAGUCCAAUGAAGCACAUGUGGGCUUGAAAGAUUGGAGCCGCUUUGCUCUUGGGUGAAUAUGCAUUUUCUGCAGCCAGAUUAAGGAUUCAUUUUGUCCUUGACACAGCACGAAAUUCAAUCUGCGCCUACUUACCCUACAGACAACAGCCUGCCGGGGGUCGUGCUAAGAUUUUAUAAUAGUACAGGCAACAGCCUUCGCUAGCAACAUAAACAUUUGGGAAAUUGUAUUUCAGAAUCUCUUCUCCCUCCUCUUUCUCCCAGCCCCAACCCGUCAUGCAAUUCUGGUUCAGUGAAAUGCAGCAUUUAAUAUUUUGGAAAUAAUUUUCGAACAGAUGGGGAAGAGGCAGGAGGGCAGCAUCUAAUGCUGGCCUUGAUGAUCUCUCUGCCUCCCUUCCGUUCUCAACAAAACAUCUCAAGCAGUGAAUGUUUUUCCUUUGAAGGAAAAAAAAAAAAAGCACGAAAGUGUUUUCAAAUCCACUCGUUUUUCUUUGCAAUCUUCCUAAGUUGAGAUCUUUCCUGUGGCACGGGAAGCUUAUUCCGGAUCUGACUACUAGGAGACCUCGGAGAGAAGCUAGGGUUGUUUAAGGAGGGAGGAGGGGAAAAACCAGCUUUCUGCCCUCAGCCAAAUGAGGCUCAGAACCUUUGUUUCUGCGGAACCAGUAGGGUGAUUCUUCACACUCUCUUUAUUGAACUACAAAUAUCUUUCCAGAUGAACACACUCCUAAUCUAAUUAGCUGUAAACAGGCCUCUCGGGUGCCACACUGCUUAACUAGAGGAUGGCAAGAAGGGCGGAGAAGAAGAGGCUGUGGCAGGAAAGAUACCCACCACUGUGGAUUCCUUUCCAUAGGCACAGUUGGGAUGGGGUGAUGUAUUUGCAGCAGUGUUUUCUGCUUUUAGGGAAGCAAAGGCCAAGAAAUGUUGAAGCCUCAUAAAGGGCAGAAUUAUGAAACAAUGAGUAAUUGGGUUUCUACAGCACUUCCCUCUCUUUCCAGAUGAUAUGAUGUAUUCCUUGGCACAGGAGAGAAAGCCAGGGCACCAAAAACGUGGGGUCCUGAAGGGUUUGGUUGAUGGUACCUAUUCCCACUGUCGAACCCUGAGGACACACAGCUGGGUGUAUGCCACAGUUCCUUACCCGAGGAACCUUGAGAUUCAAGCAUCAGUCACACGCCUUCCUCUAGCUUCUGGUAAAAUCCCAUCUUCCUUUUUGUUCCCUAGCCUUGGUGUCAGCAAUGAUUAAUCUCUUCAGAAACUGCCUUUGAGUUCUAAUACCUAUGUAAUCAGUUGUGUGUAUGAAAUGCAACUCCAGUGUAGCCAGUCUCCUGCAUUAAAUCCCUUCGGUUGGAAUGCUUUUAUUUUCCUGAUUGGUCCCUGUUAAAUGUUGACUCUGACGCUGACUAGAAACCCAAGGCUCCAUCUGCUGAAUUAGCCAAAAGUUUGGGGGCUCUCUUCCUUGUGGUGACAUUACUAAAAGACUCUCAAAUAGUUAGACCCAUGGGCAGAGGGUGCGUUCUCAGUGGACACUCUCUUGGGGAAUCUCACACAUUCUAAUAUGCUCUGGAAAUCUUGGGUUGAGAGGCUAGUCCACACUGUGCUGAAGGAUUCCCAUUUUACCCUAAAACAUUUUAUCUUAGAGUACCUCUUUCCUGGCAUUUAUAGAUGUAAAGAAUUUGGAAAACCACUGCAGUACUCCACAACCACAUCUUUCUUUUGUAAAUCCUCAAAAUUUGGACAUUAGAAGCAGUAGGAAAACUGUGACAAUGGUUCUCAAAAUACAGUCUGGGGGGAUCACUGGGGACCUUUGAGACCCUCACCAGGAGUUCAUGAGCACACUAUUUUCAUCAUAAUACUGAGACUUGAUUUGCCCUUUUCACUUUCACUUUUAUUUCACUCAUGAGGGUACAGGGUAGUUUUCAAGAGGCUACAUCCAUAUAUAUUAAAACAGAUUGAAGAGGGAAGCAGAUAUAGGGAUCCAGCUGUCUAUAGGCAGAUAUCAAAGAGAUUCACAAAAAUGGGAAAGAAAACUACUCU
This is a long non-coding RNA of Felis catus (domestic cat), 4528 nucleotides long. RefSeq lists it as uncharacterized. The transcript has 3 exons. The record is from RefSeq and is a predicted model, not a curated record. NCBI's taxonomy places the organism in Eukaryota, Metazoa, Chordata, Mammalia, Carnivora, Felidae.